UGCGAUGGCAACCGCAGGCAGCGCAUUUUAUGGAGGUGGGGUCGUUGUGGUUAGAGGUGGGAGAAGGCAUGAACUCUCCACAGCCAUCUAGUGCAUGACCACCUAAAGUAGCUGCGUGGUUCUUGAGGCAUUCCUUGUAAGUUAUGUCUACCGGCGGAGCAGAAAGAUGGUGGCUGUAGUGGUGAUGGUGGUGGGGAUUGUGGCGCUUGAGAACACCAUUGGUAAGGGAUAAAGGCUUAGCAGAUUGGAUCCGGAUAGGCGUUUCCGUUUCCUGGUCAGGGGAUUUGGCAGUUGGGUUAUUUGUGAUGGUAUUGUUGUUGGUGGUGGAGGUGGUUGAUGGGGCUAUGUCCAUAGCUCAAACAUUUAAUUCGAGUGUUAUGGAAAAUAAAUAAAGAAAUUAAAGAAAAAGGAAGAAAGAGAGAAAUGAAAGAAAGAUUUAUGAAGGGUGGAGGUGGUUUAUGCAAUUAGGGUUUUGUAACGGUUGGUGGUGAUGUUGGCAGCCAUGGCAGUG
RNAcentral lists this unclassified non-coding RNA (511 nucleotides) under Hevea brasiliensis (rubber tree). Lineage: Eukaryota; Viridiplantae; Streptophyta; Magnoliopsida; Malpighiales; Euphorbiaceae. The record is from RNAcentral.